UCGCCGAGAGGGACAUUGAU
This 20-nucleotide microRNA is filed under the name Chlamydomonas reinhardtii. RNAcentral describes it as "cre-miR1150.2". The record is from miRBase by way of RNAcentral. Lineage: Eukaryota; Viridiplantae; Chlorophyta; Chlorophyceae; Chlamydomonadales; Chlamydomonadaceae.